This 253-nucleotide ribosomal RNA is filed under the name uncultured bacterium. RNAcentral describes it as "partial 16S ribosomal RNA". It matches the Rfam family "Bacterial small subunit ribosomal RNA", at positions 524 to 776 of the family's 1533-position model. The record is from RNAcentral.
UACAGAGGUCCCAAGCGUUGUUCGGAUUCACUGGGCGUAAAGGGUGCGUAGGCGGUCGGGUAAGUCUGACGUGAAAUCUUCAAGCUCAACUUGGAAACUGCGUCGGAUACUAUUCGGCUAGAGGAAUGGAGGGGAGACUGGAAUACUUGGUGUAGCAGUGAAAUGCGUAGAUAUCAAGUGGAACACCAGUGGCGAAGGCGGGUCUCUGGACAGUUCCUGACGCCGAGGCACGAAGGUCAGGGGAGCAAACGGG